CAGAGUUGCAAAACUCCCUAAACCAUUGUGAACCUACCACUAAACAGUGCUUCGGCGGGUGGCGCGAGGGCCCCUUCACGGGGCAGGAGCGCCCUAGACAGCCCGCCGGAGGUACUCAAACUCUUUGUUUACCACAGGCCUCUCUGAGUAUUGUACUUAAAUAAGUC
RNAcentral lists this unclassified non-coding RNA (167 nucleotides) under soil metagenome. RNAcentral describes it as "partial internal transcribed spacer 1". The record is from RNAcentral.